This 73-nucleotide transfer RNA is filed under the name Pagetodes antarcticus. RNAcentral's name for it is "tRNA-Val". It matches the Rfam family "tRNA". From Rfam's summary of the family: Transfer RNA (tRNA) molecules are approximately 80 nucleotides in length. Their secondary structure includes four short double-helical elements and three loops (D, anti-codon, and T loops). Further hydrogen bonds mediate the characteristic L-shaped molecular structure. tRNAs have two regions of fundamental functional importance: the anti-codon, which is responsible for specific mRNA codon recognition, and the 3' end, to which the tRNAs corresponding amino acid is attached (by aminoacyl-tRNA synthetases). tRNAs cope with the degeneracy of the genetic code in two manners: having more than one tRNA (with a specific anti-codon) for a particular amino acid; and 'wobble' base-pairing, i.e. permitting non-standard base-pairing at the 3rd anti-codon position. Lineage: Eukaryota; Metazoa; Chordata; Actinopteri; Perciformes; Channichthyidae. The record is from RNAcentral.
CAAGGUAUAGCUAAGUUUAGAAAAGCCUCUCCCUUACACCGAGAAGUCCUCCGUGCAAAUCGGAUUGCCCUGA